CAGCAGCCACGGUAAUACGUAGGUGGCAAGCGUUGUCCGGAAUUAUUGGGCGUAAAGGGCUCGCAGGCGGUUUCUUAAGUCUGAUGUGAAAGCCCCCGGCUCAACCGGGGAGGGUCAUUGGAAACUGGGAAACUUGAGUGCAGAAGAGGAGAGUGGAAUUCCACGUGUAGCGGUGAAAUGCGUAGAGAUGUGGAGGAACACCAGUGGCGAAGGCGACUCUCUGGUCUGUAACUGACGCUGAGGAGCGAAAGCGUGGGGAGCGAACAGGAUUAGAUACCCCGGUAGUCCCUGUUUCUUAUAC
Molecule: ribosomal RNA, 301 nt
Filed under: uncultured bacterium
Lineage: Bacteria
Description: partial 16S ribosomal RNA
Rfam family: Bacterial small subunit ribosomal RNA
Source: RNAcentral